GAUGAACGCUAGCUACAGGCUUAACACAUGCAAGUCGAGGGGAAACGAUAUUGGAAGCUUGCUUCUGAUAGGCGUCGACCGGCGCACGGGUGAGUAACGCGUAUCCAACCUGCCCAUCACUUGGGGAUAACCUUGUGAAAGUAAGACUAAUACCCAAUGACGUCUCUAGAAGACAUCUGAAAGAGAUUAAAGAUUUAUCGGUGAUGGAUGGGGAUGCGUCUGAUUAGCUUGUUGGCGGGGUAACGGCCCACCAAGGCGACGAUCAGUAGGGGUUCUGAGAGGAAGGUCCCCCCACAUUGGAACUGAGACACGGUCCAAACUCCUACGGGAGGCAGCAGUGAGGAAUAUUGGUCAAUGGGACGAGAGUCUGAACCAGCCAAGUAGCGUGCAGGAUGACGGCCCUAUGGGUUGUAAACUGCUUUUAUAAGGGAAUAAAGUGGGAGUCGUGACUCUUUUUGCAUGUACCUUAUGAAUAGGACCGGCUAAUUCCGUGCCAGCAGCCG
RNAcentral lists this ribosomal RNA (503 nucleotides) under uncultured bacterium. RNAcentral describes it as "bacterial SSU rRNA". It matches the Rfam family "Bacterial small subunit ribosomal RNA", at positions 28 to 517 of the family's 1533-position model. The record is from RNAcentral.